GGGGUGGAGGAAUCUACGGUGGUGGGCCUGGUUGCAGUAGUAGAGGAAGGUUUGGUGAUGGAAACCAAGGUGAUGGUGGAGGGGGAUAUGAUGGUUACAACAAAGGGGGAAACUUCGGUGGUGGCAGGCACUAUAAUGAUUUCAGAAAUCACAGUGGACAACAGCAGUCAGAUUACGGACCCUGGAAGAGAGGCAGUUGUGGUGCAAGAAGCUCUGGCAGCGGAUCUGGUGGUGGCAGGGGUAGAUACAGCAGCCAAAGGUUUUUUUAAAAAACAGAAAAGGGCUCGGAGCGAGGAGUUGUCAGGAAAGCUGCAGGUCACUGUCUCCAUGUGGGAGACAACUCAAGCACCUCCCCUUGAAUGCAGGGCAAUUGUGGCAGCUCUGCUUAUAUGGAGGCUGAUUUCCUUACAAUAAUGUGUACAGAGCUGGCUAUGGUAUUUCCUUCUCUUUCAGUUGGCUCUAAGCAUUGCAAAUAAGGCCAGCGGAGGCACUGGUAUGUAAUCUCUAAAGCAGUCAGGCAGUCUCCUGUUUCCUCUCUAAAAUAAUAUAAGCACAGCGGGAUGGUUAGAGCCAGUCAGCUCCAGGAAAGUCAGCUGGGUAGCCUCAAGGUAGAGGCUAUGACUCUGCAGGGCACAGAAAUUUACCUAUCAGAAACUGAAGCAACAGUCUCCAAAAACAAUUCAGUUGCUACCGUAAUGAAUUAUGCAAAUUGAUCCUCCUGCAUAUCCUUAUCUCUGCAUUUUUGCAAAGAUGCUUUUCUCCUCCCCCACCUGGCCGACUCAAACUACUAAGUAAUUCCUGCCAUCCUGUCGCUCAUCCUUGAACUGCUCCCUUCUUCACAAGAUAAUAAAUUCCGGGAGAGGCCUAGGAUCUGGGCCUUUGCCCACACAUCAUCAGGGUGAUUGGAUUUAGGACCCCUGUCUGCCCAUAACCUGGAAUAUGUUGGUGUGGGUUGCCCUGGAGGUGGUACAUUGGAGUUAACUUGCCAAGAUUCCACGAACGUCUCAAUGGGAUUACAAAUACCACUUUUUGCAUGGUGAGGAAGAGUAGAAAAGGGAUUACCAUACUUGGAUGACUGCACACAACAUUUAGGGUUAUAAUAGUCCCAAAUGCAUUAGAGGAACUAUAAAAAUCGGCCAGAAAUCAGCUGGACAUGGUGACUCAUGCGGAGGCUGAGGCAGGAGGAUCGAUGUAAGUUCAAGACCAGCCUGGGCUACAAAGUGAGCUCAAGGCCUGACUGAAUUGCGUAGAGAGACUCUGUCUCAAAAAGACCAAAAAAAAAAAAAAAAAAAAGCCCAAAAUCAAUAAAUCAUUUACUGUUUAUACUUAUCUUACCUAUGAGAUUCACCGAUAAAACUAUCCCGCCCCUACUUUUCUAUGUUUGCUUUGUGUUGUAACAAAAUACAUAGGAUUAAACAAUUUAAAAGAAGGAAGAUUUACUUUGGGUCAGGGUUUUGGACUCCGUUCUUUUGGGGCAGUAGUGAGGGAGAAUAUCACUGCGGAGUUGGUGGGGUGAAGCGUCCCACCUCGUGGUGCCAGGAAGCAGAGCGAAGGGGAGGACUAAACCGAACGGUCACUAAGUCCAUUCAUAGACGCUCACACUAGCGGGUGCUGAGAGGUGAAGGUAGGCGAGUUCUCAGUGGUGAGGAGUUUAUAGACUGGGGGAGCCAAGCAGAUACACUCCGGGGGGAUGUGCAAAGGGGACAGGGUCUAAACAGUUUUGCCAAGCUGGAAGCUUGACAGCAGAGCAGGAGGACUGUGUGCACGCACACAUGCGCACACAGUCUCACUAGGAGCCCAGGCUGACCUCAGAUUGGUGCUAGGAUUCCAGAUGUGCACAGUGCCAGCGUUGGAGCCCCUCCUGGGGAGAUGGCUAGCCUGGUUCUACAGUGUGAAUAUUAAUUAUCCCAGGAUAAGGCGGCCACCAAGGGCAGUAAGGUGAGGGGACAGUACGUGUCCAUGGGCAAAGUGACAGAUGUCAGCCUGCAGUUCUCCCAGUGUACAGGAAGGCGAGGCUGUAAAGCAGGAGCCCGGCCUGGAGCAGCGCCCGUGCUGGUUAAGUAGCUGGGCUUCGUCUUCCAGAAGCGCGCUCUCCCCUAGGGCGGCUCAGGAAGGCCAAGCCCCAGCCCUGAGUUUGUGCACUCAGCAGUGCACAAACACAAACUCAUGUCAGAGACUACCAAGGCGCCCAGGGGACACCAAGGAACUGUUUCUCUGGGUUUUGUGUUGUGUGUUCAGCCUUCCAGGCCUCCAGAGGCUGCCACAUCUGUGACCCAUAUGGCCCUGCUGCUGUAUGAGCAGGUGGCCUCCUCGCCUUGUCCCUGUGGACCUGUGAACGUGCAGAAGGCCGAGGAAAGCAGGGAGCUGGGGCAGAGGGGCUGGGUUGGGGGUGGUGACUUUUGGGAGCGAGGCCAGAGGUACAGCAGAGACCCCAGGAGAUUGGGCUGGGAGCAGUGCCCUGGGGUGCCGCCAGCAGACUGCAGGGCCAGCGGGGCCUCUGCCAGAGGGUGCCUGGACCACUGCGGGCCUGCAGGGCGUAACGUCUGUCUCUGUCCGUGGUUUCUGGCCUCGUUCUGAUCUGGUUCGUCUGCUAUUUUUCUGUCUCUUCUUGGCAUGGUAAUGUUUCCUGAUUCACCACUUCAUGUUGUAAAUGUGUAACUUCGUUUUGGCUUUGAUUUUUCCAGACAAGGUCUUGCCCUUGUAAGAAACAGAAACCUACAGUGGCCUGCAUUUAAGACGGAGUAGCUAACUCUGAGUGGGAAAUUACCAGCAGUUAAACUUGCCUAGCGGCCUGGGCAUGCGCCUGGAAGAUCCCUAGGCAGAGAGGGUACCAGGGAGAGAUGAACGUGGAGGGGCAUCCUUAUUGAGGAGUGGAGAGAAAUAAUGGACCCAGGUGGCUUCCGGGAAGUGUACCCCACAGUGCUUAGGGUGGGGGGCGGUCUGCACACCACAGAGCAGAGUGUGUGCUGUAUGGGCCGGCUACGCCCCACUACAGUUGGGAGCUGCUGAAGUACAACUGACCACAUGUGCCAGGCUUGACCACCGCAAGAACAAAGAGCACCCGGGGCAAGCCAUAUGAAGAAGCUGCUUCAGCCCAGGGAACACCUAGACCUCGGAGCAGUGGGCUGCUAGGACAACAGUGAUGUGACAUUGAGUUACUGAAAGGUAGAAGGGCCCCUGCAGUGAGGGGUUGCACCUUUCCUCCCAUCAGGAGGGAAGGGCUCCACCGGACCCCAGCUUGUUUCUUUUCUCCUCCUCUCUAGGUCCUUCACCCCAAGAAUCUCAAAGGCCACUUGGGGAGCGGCAGUACCAGACACCCAGUCUCGCAAGACCAACAUUAAAGUCUAGUGUUUCCUGUCCUUCAGUCUCUAGGUCCAUUCCUUGGGUUUGGGCAAGUGCAUGUAGUUCUCACACUUAGGUAGUUCAGGCUGGCCCUGAAUUCGCGGAGACCGUCCUGACUCAGCCUCCCAGGUGCUGGACAUGUACUGCUGUACCUACUUGUUUGGUUUUGUAGAGGCUCGGGGCUGGUGUUCCUUGAGUCUCAGAGGACUGCACACUUGGACUUUCGAGAUGCCAGAACUGCUAAGACUUCAGGGAUUCUUCAAGGUGGGCUAAAUGCAUUUUUAAUUGUGAGAUGAGUCUUUGGGGAGACCCCAAGUUGUCUCAAACGAAAAAGUGAGUGGCCGGGGCUACAGCUAAGUAUGAAGGCCCUGGGUUCCAAUCCCUGUCAUCAUCGCACCCCCACCCCCCACCUGUUGGGCGCAGGCGCUCAACAUACCAUACCCCACCCGGGACUAAGGACCACGCCAGCUUCCGCAAUGCGCUACGUCCCUCUUUAAAUUGGCCAACCCGUGUGCACUUCGUGCUCACUCCAUACUCUGUGGCAACUUCUGAUUGGCCACAGCUGGAUAUGGUAGCCAGAGCCUGCAUCCCAUUCCCGCCCUGCUUCCUUGUAGCAGCCUGUGAUUGGUCACGGCCAAAUAUAUAAACCAGAGCCCGCCUAAAUAAACUAGCAGUUAACUGUCGUCCACAAAAGCGUCUCCUGUCUCCUGUUUCAUUGGAGCUGCGCCGGUCAACUGGUGGCCCGUACGGGGAGCCCGGAGCGCUGAGACCCUCUCUCCGACAGUACGAGGAGCGCUGAGACCCUCUCUCCGAUGGAACAGAGACUAACAGGAAGAAGGCAGCGAACCUGUCUGGGUCCUGGAACGCCUGAUACGUCCCUGCAAACCACCAGACCCCGACCCAGAGGAAACGUCAACCACAGAACAGGGGAACCAACAGGAGCCUCACAAGCCAGACCAAGCAAGUAUACCCACAACUCCCAUUAACCAUGGCACCUUGGCCAACUCCCCUGGUUAGUAGCCUCCUUUUCCCCUCCUUCUUGCAUCUCGUACGGUCCUUGCAGCCAAUGACUUUUCUAAAUUGCUCCACCGCAACCUGUUAUAUGUUAUAAUGUUGGGAUAACAGUACACUUUCAGCUGUUGUUAUGCAGGUACUCCAGUUCGCACCGGUUCCAGUUAUGGCGGACUCAGACGAGUUUCCUGUGAUCCAGCUCGGGCCAACUCUCCAAUUGGCUUUCAUAAAGGAAUGGGCAGGAACAGGGGCUCUGGCUACCAUAACUACACUUGCCGCAUUCGGCAGUCUACUUCUGCUCUGUCGGAUUCGCAGACAAAGGAAUAGGGACAAAGUAUCAAACAAGCAUUGCUGAUCAUGGAAUCUGGUCAAAGCCCGGCAGCAUGGCUCGCCAUGCUGUGACGUAGGUGUGGAGCAAAGCAUCGCAGGGGGUGUCGUCCUUGGCCAGGAGACACCCCGGUCCCCAUGUUGGCGAGCACGCGGGUUGGGCUCAUAAAACAGAUUUCCCGCCCCCUCCAAAAGAGCACCAACGAGUAGUGAGGCACUGUCAUGACUGCAGCGUGACACCUCACGAGGGGCACCGACCUCUGGAGACCCUGCGUCAGUUAUAAAGAAAGGGGGAGAUGUUGGGCGCAGGCGCUCAACAUACCAUACCCCACCCGGGACUAAGGACCACGCCAGCUUCCGCAAUGCGCUACGUCCCUCCUUAAAUUAGCCAACCUGUGUGCACUUCGUGCUCACUCCAUACUCUGUGGCAACUCCUGAUUGGCCACAGCUGGAUAUAGUAGCCGGAGCCUACAUCCCAUUCCCGCCCUGCUUCCUUGUGGCAGCCUGUGAUUGGUCACAGCCGAAUAUAUAAACCAGAGCCCGCCUAAAUAAACUAGCAGUUAACUGUCGCCCACAAAA
Molecule: long non-coding RNA, 5259 nt
Organism: Cavia porcellus (domestic guinea pig)
Lineage: Eukaryota; Metazoa; Chordata; Mammalia; Rodentia; Caviidae
Exons: 2
Source: RefSeq, a predicted model, not a curated record